GUACACGUCGCUGGUGCUUUUCCGAGUGGGGGGUCGUGUGGAUGGAAGGUGCACAAUAUGGAUGAAGAACCAACAAUCCUUAAAACUCUUGGAGAAGAUGGGGUCUACAGCAAGUUUUUGGGGGCAGAGUUUGAUGUUAACAAGGAGGCAAGCACCCUUCUGCAGUCAGCUGCUUUGUCUGAGCAGCUGGGACACAUCAUUAAAGG
Pollicipes pollicipes is the source of this 206-nucleotide long non-coding RNA. RefSeq lists it as uncharacterized. The record is from RefSeq and is a predicted model, not a curated record. The transcript has 3 exons. NCBI's taxonomy places the organism in Eukaryota, Metazoa, Arthropoda, Thecostraca, Pollicipedomorpha, Pollicipedidae.